This is a long non-coding RNA of Setaria italica (foxtail millet), 1922 nucleotides long. RefSeq lists it as uncharacterized. NCBI's taxonomy places the organism in Eukaryota, Viridiplantae, Streptophyta, Magnoliopsida, Poales, Poaceae. The transcript is spliced from 2 exons. The record is from RefSeq and is a predicted model, not a curated record.
UCUUAUUUAAACUUGAGUACAAUUAUUUGUGCAUCACAAAAUAAAUGAAUGUUACAAGAAAUUCAUAAUUUUCUAUAAAUGAAACUAAUAUAGCACAAUUGCCGCUUGACUCACCACCCGGUCGUCUCUCGCGACUACCACGGGUCCGACAUGCUUCCUCUCAAAGUCUUCUAUGAUCGAAUGACCAAUGGAAUCAAUAAUCCACCUCAAACCCCAAUCCUAAAGCUCAAGGCAUCGAGUGGAUCAUAUCACAUGAGAAUAACAAGUUGCGGAGUACGUGAAAAGAAAAAAGAUGCAUUUUUAUAACCUUCCAAAAUCAUACAUCAUAAUUGUUUUUAAUAAAGGAUAAGUUUCCAUGAUUGUUUGUAACCUCCAAUCUAUUUUCUUUUUAUUUUGAUCUUUACUUGUGAAAAGCAGUCAUUUUAUUUUAUAAAGUUAUUAUAUGUUUUGUAUCUACGGGAUAUUGAGUCCUAGAGGUGUAGCCAACACGGAACAUCUAGGCAGCUCAUUUGCAACGACAAUGUACAGGCAGCAAAUGGAAGCCACACGUUGCACAACGGUGGAAACAACAAAACGUGGGGGGCAAAAAAAGAAAUCCUCGAUCUCCAUGAUCGCAUCGCCACCACACAAAAAUCUUGCUCAAAGUCGUUUAAAAAACUUCCUCAAAGCUGCUCCGACAAUAUCAAAACAACAUCAGGUUGAGAUCGAUAUCUUUUUUUCCUCUCCUUUUCCACCUCUUUUUCUUUUUUUUCUCUCCCUCUUUUUUCCCCCUAUUUUCCCCUCCAUUAUCUGUUCCUCACGGUCUCGGUCUCACGCGUCCUUAACCUUUUCUUCACGCGAGCUGCUCUUCUGCGGUCCCAGCACUGCUGCUGCUCCGCCUUCACCAUUGUCCACUCGACCGACUGCUGCUGCUGCUAAUCCGCCGCCGCAGCCCCAACCUCCCAGCUGAGCGCUGCUCCAGCUGUUCCGUUGCCGCUGGCCCAGCUCGCGCCCACACCGGACCGCGCCGGCACCAGUCGGAGCUUGAACAGAGCAAGAGGAUGUGCCCAAGCCAGUCAUCGAUUGAUAGGGCCAUUUCUUCUCCUCCCCUUCCACCUUUUUUGGCUCCACCGCUGGGACAGCGUGAGAGAGAUGAGUGCCGGGGCAAACUCGCGCCGCUGUAAAGCUUCUUGCCGGAGCACGCGUGCGGUUCGCACGCGGCUCCGUCAAGGAGCUUACCCGUGAUGCAAGGGGAGCUUAGCGGUGGUGUGGCUCGCGCGUGGCUGCGACGACGCGAGCAGAUCCGAGGGUUCCCUCGCGCGUCAGCACGGCGGUUGGCGCUGGCGCUGGCCUCUACGGCGGGUGAUUUUUCCUCUACACCUAUCGAGGAUUUGGGGAUUUCGGAGAUUUCGAGGAUUUGGGACUGCCACGGCAGUUGGCAGCAGCGCUAGCCUCUACGACGGGAGGAGGAGGUCGUCCUCCCCGUCAUGCGGCAGGCGAUUCCCGACGAGCAGGAGGUCGUCCUUGCCUGGAGGAGUGGGUGAUGAUGACGGAUUCAAGAGGCGGCGCCGGGGAGCAGGGAGGAUGAAGUGGGAGCGAUUUGAAAUUUGAACGGCGCAUUCCUAUUGGCCCAGGGCAGACCCACGCCACCACGCGCGCCAGUGGUUCUGCGGCAGAGCCGCUGGGGUGUCGACGCCCCCUUACUGUCUUUUUAUAGUGGCCUGUUCGCUUCAGCUUAUAAGUCGGCUGAAAAGUCGAAAUGGCUGAUUUAUUGUGAGAGGAAAACACUGUUUGAUAGCUGAUAAGCCAGCUGAAUAAGCUGAAGCGAACAGGCUGGUGUCUGUCGAUUUUUUGUAUGGUUGAGAUGGCUUGUAUUGGUGAUCAGGUCCUACCUGUAUUAUUGUUUAUUUCUCCUGCAGAUGAUAUGUGGCCGUUUUUUAGCA